CAGCCUGCCCAGUGACAAAGUUCAACGGCCGCGGUACCCUAACCGUGCGAAGGUAGCAUAAUCACUUGUUCUUUAAAUGAGGACUCGUAUCAACGGCACUACGAGGGCUAUACUGUCUCCUUUUUCUAAUCAGUGAAACUGAUCUCCCCGUGAAGAAGCGGGGAUCAAAAUAUAAGACGAGAAGACCCCAUGGAGCUUUAAACUCACUAUACACCUCUGUGCCUUUAUGUCACUAGACACAAGAGAUCUGCGUACUAGUUUUAGGUUGGGGGGACCACGGAGUAUAAUUUAACCUCCAUAACAAAUGGGCUAACACCCUUAUCUACGAGACACAACUCUAAGAAUUACUAAACUAAUGCUUAUGACCCGAUAUUCGAUCAAUGAACCAAGUUACCCUGGGGAUAACAGCGCAAUCUACUUCAAGAGCCCAUAUCGACAAGUGGGUUUACGACCUCYAUGUUGGAUCAGGGUAUCCCGGUGGUGCARCCGCUACCGACGGUUCGUUUGUUCAACGAUUAAAACCCUACGUGAUCUGANNNNNNNNNNNNNNNNNNNNNNNNNNNNNNNNNNNNNNNNNNNNNNNNNNNNCCGAAACCAAGCGAGCUACUUCAGAACAGCCAGAAGGGCCAACCCGUCUCUGUUGCAAAAGAGUGGGAAGAUUCUCAAGUAGAGGUGACAAGCCUACCGAGCUUGGAGAUAGCUGGUUGUUCAGAAAAAGAGUUUUAGCUCUACCUUAAGUUUUUCUAUUAAACUAACAAAACCCCGAAACUUAAGAGCUAUUCAAAUAAGGCACAGCUUAUUUGAAACAGGACACAACCUACGCCACAGGGUAAACAAGAGUGCCUUAAAUAAAGUGGGCCUAAAAGCAGCCAUCUUUAGAAAAGCGUUAAAGCUUAUCUAUUCCCCACUCCCCAAUACCGUAAAUCUUCAUCAACCCCUCACCACUACCGAACAAUUUUAUAUUCGUAUAAAAGCUAUCAUGCUAGAACUAGUAACAAGAAACUGCCUUUCUCCUAAAUGUAAGCAUACACCAAGAUAGACCCUCUAUUGGUUAUUAACGUAAAUGCUAAGUUAUAGCAACACUUGCUAGAAAAUCCUAUAACCCCCAACGUUAACCUUACACCAGAACAUUACAGGAAAGAUUUAAAGAAAAAGAAGGAACUCGGCG
Molecule: ribosomal RNA, 1168 nt
Filed under: Rana graeca (Greek frog)
Lineage: Eukaryota; Metazoa; Chordata; Amphibia; Anura; Ranidae
Description: partial 16S ribosomal RNA
Rfam family: Bacterial large subunit ribosomal RNA (bases 1-747)
Source: RNAcentral